AUUGAACGCUGGCGGCAUGCUUUACACAUGCAAGUCGGACGGCAGCAUAAAAGAGCUUGCUCUUUUGAUGGCGAGUGGCGAACGGGUGAGUAAUGCGUCGGAACGUACCGAGUAGUGGGGGAUAACUGUCCGAAAGGAUGGCUAAUACCGCAUAUUCUCUGAGGAGGAAAGCAGGGGACCUUAGGGCCUUGCGCUAUUUGAGCGGCCGAUGUCUGAUUAGCUAGUUGGUGGGGUAAGAGCCCACCAAGGCGACGAUCAGUAGCGGGUCUGAGAGGAUGAUCCGCCACACUGGGACUGAGACACGGCCCAGACUCCUACGGGAGGCAGCAGUGGGGAAUUUUGGACAAUGGGCGCAAGCCUGAUCCAGCCAUGCCGCGUGUAUGAAGAAGGCCUUCGGGUUGUAAAGUACUUUUGUCAGGGAAGAAAAGCCUGAGGAUAACACCCUCAGGUCAUGACGGUACCUGAAGAAUAAGCACCGGCUAACUACGUGCCAGCAGCCGCGGUAAUACGUAGGGUGCGAGCGUUAAUCGGAAUUACUGGGCGUAAAGCGAGCGCAGACGGUUAUUUAAGCAAGAUGUGAAAGCCCCGGGCUCAACCUGGGAACUGCGUUUUGAACUGGGUAACUAGAGUGUGUCAGAGGGGGGUAGAAUUCCACGUGUAGCAGUGAAAUGCGUAGAGAUGUGGAGGAAUACCGAUGGCGAAGGCAGCCCCCUGGGAUAACACUGACGUUCAUGCUCGAAAGCGUGGGUAGCAAACAGG
RNAcentral lists this ribosomal RNA (759 nucleotides) under uncultured Neisseriaceae bacterium. RNAcentral's name for it is "bacterial SSU rRNA". It matches the Rfam family "Bacterial small subunit ribosomal RNA", at positions 28 to 776 of the family's 1533-position model. The record is from RNAcentral. Lineage: Bacteria; Pseudomonadati; Pseudomonadota; Betaproteobacteria; Neisseriales; Neisseriaceae.